This 423-nucleotide ribosomal RNA is filed under the name uncultured bacterium. Its description in RNAcentral is "bacterial SSU rRNA". It matches the Rfam family "Bacterial small subunit ribosomal RNA", at positions 358 to 773 of the family's 1533-position model. The record is from RNAcentral.
GGAAUAUUGGACAAUGGACGAAAGUCUGAUCCAGCGACGCCGCGUGCGGGAAGAAGGCCUUCGGGUUGUAAACCGCUUUUGUCAGGGAAGAAACGCUUUGAGUUAAUACCUCAAGGUAAUGACGGUACCUGAAGAAUAAGCACCGGCUAACUACGUGCCAGCAGCCGCGGUAAGACGUAGGGUGCAAGCGUUAAUCGGAAUUACUGGGCGUAAAGCGUGCGCAGGCGGUGAUGUAAGACAGAUGUGAAAUCCCCGGGCUCAACCUGGGAACUGCAUUUGUGACUGCAUCGCUGGAGUGCGGCAGAGGGGGAUGGAAUUCCGCGUGUAGCAGUGAAAUGCGUAGAUAUGCGGAGGAACACCGAUGGCGAAGGCAAUCCCCUGGGCCUGCACUGACGCUCAUGCACGAAAGCGUGGGGAGCAAAC